GACGAACGCUGGCGGCGUGCUUAACACAUGCAAGUCGAACGAUGAUGCCCAGCUUGCUGGGCGGAUUAGUGGCGAACGGGUGAGUAACACGUGAGUAACCUGCCCUUGACUUCGGGAUAACUCCGGGAAACCGGGGCUAAUACCGGAUAUGAGCCGUCCUCGCAUGGGGGUGGUUGGAAAGUUUUUCGGUCAGGGAUGGGCUCGCGGCCUAUCAGCUUGUUGGUGGGGUGAUGGCCUACCAAGGCGACGACGGGUAGCCGGCCUGAGAGGGCGACCGGCCACACUGGGACUGAGACACGGCCCAGACUCCUACGGGAGGCAGCAGUGGGGAAUAUUGCACAAUGGGCGAAAGCCUGAUGCAGCGACGCCGCGUGAGGGAUGAAGGCCUUCGGGUUGUAAACCUCUUUCAGCAGGGAAGAAGCGCAAGUGACGGUACCUGCAGAAGAAGCGCCGGCUAACUACGUGCCAGCAGCCGCGGUAAUACGUAGGGCGCAAGCGUUGUCCGGAAUUAUUGGGCGUAAAGAGCUCGUAGGCGGUUUGUCGCGUCUGGUGUGAAAACUCGAGGCUCAACCUCGAGCUUGCAUCGGGUACGGGCAGACUAGAGUGCGGUAGGGGAGACUGGAAUUCCUGGUGUAGCGGUGGAAUGCGCAGAUAUCAGGAGGAACACCGAUGGCGAAGGCAGGUCUCUGGGCCGCAACUGACGCUGAGGAGCGAAAGCAUGNGGAGCGAACAGG
Molecule: ribosomal RNA, 734 nt
Filed under: uncultured Cellulosimicrobium sp.
Lineage: Bacteria; Bacillati; Actinomycetota; Actinomycetes; Micrococcales; Promicromonosporaceae
Description: bacterial SSU rRNA
Rfam family: Bacterial small subunit ribosomal RNA
Source: RNAcentral